UACGUAGGUGGCAAGCGUUGUCCGGAAUUAUUGGGCGUAAAGAGCUCGUAGGCGGUUUGUCGCGUCUGCUGUGAAAACUCGGGGCUUAACUCCGGGCCUGCAGUGGGUACAGGCAGACUAGAGUGCGGUAGGGGAGACUGGAAUUCCUGGUGUAGCGGUGAAAUGCGCAGAUAUCAGGAGGAACACCGGUGGCGAAGGCGGGUCUCUGGGCCGUAACUGACGCUGAGGAGCGAAAGCGUGGGGAGCAAACAGG
Molecule: ribosomal RNA, 253 nt
Filed under: uncultured bacterium
Lineage: Bacteria
Description: partial 16S ribosomal RNA
Rfam family: Bacterial small subunit ribosomal RNA
Source: RNAcentral